UACGUAGGGGGCAAGCGUUGUCCGGAAUCAUUGGGCGUAAAGCGCGUGUAGGCGGCUCGAUAAGUCCGCUGUGAAAGGCCGGGGCUCAACCCCGUGCUGGCCUCGGAUACUGUUUGACUGGAGACACGUAGAGGCGAGCGGAAUUCCGGGUGUAGCGGUGGAAUGCGUAGAGAUCCGGAAGAACACCGGAGGCGAAGGCGGCUCGCUGGGCGUGGUCUGACGCUGAGGCGCGAAGGCGUGGGGAGCGAACAGG
Molecule: ribosomal RNA, 253 nt
Filed under: uncultured bacterium
Lineage: Bacteria
Description: partial 16S ribosomal RNA
Rfam family: Bacterial small subunit ribosomal RNA
Source: RNAcentral